ACUAUAGUCGCGGUACAAUUGUUGUUUAUGUAUGUACGUACUACAUGCACGUUAGGUAGAUGAAAUAUUUAUGAUAAACUUAUAUUUUAAUAUUUAGUGAAAAUGUAUCACUUUAAGUAUAAAAACUUCGUUGUGACCUUUAACAUAGUAAGAAAUAUGGCCACUCUUAAAAGAUUUUAUCGAAAGACAAAUAUAUUGCUCAGUGAUGGGAAAUUUGAAAUUACGCUUGAUCAAAGAAAACUCAAAACACCGCAAAGAAAAGUAUUACAAGUGGAUAAUAAACCUUUAGCUUUAGCUAUAGCAGCAGAGUGGGACAUGCAAAAGAAUACUAUUGACAAAAGUAGUAUGCAUCUGACAGCCUUAUGUAAUACUGUGAUAGAUAAUCCUCACAAUCACACAAAGCAAGAUAUGGUAAAUUAUAUUGUGAAUUGUUUAGAAAUGGAUACAAUAUUAUUUCAUUCAUAUGAAAAUGAAGAAUUGUAUAAAUUACAAACUGAAAAUUGGGAUCCACUAGUACAAUGGUUUUGUGACAAUUAUGGAGUAAAUUUAAUUAAAACUCAAAGUAUAGAAGCUCCUACAGUACCUUUAGAAACUAAAGCAAUAUUGACAAGACACUUAAUGUCCCACAAUUACAGUGCCGUUUGUGGUUUUAUGUAUGGAGUGGAUGCAAUCAAAUCUGUAAUUCUUACUCUAGCUGCAGCAGAAAGACUAAUUAGUAUAAAAGAAGCAGUAAGACAGUCGCGUUUGGAGGAAAAUUAUCAAGUUUCUCACUGGGGAUCUGUAGAAUGGUUUCACGAUCAUAAUAAAUUUGAUUUGCAAAGUCGUUUAGCUGCAGCUAUCUUAUUUGUGCAUUUGAAUUCUUACUCUGUGUCACAUCAACCAAAAAUAGAUAAAAAUGUUGAUUAAUUUAUAAAAAUUGAUUGAAUAAAUUUUGUACAUAUAAUGUAUUGGAAUGAAACGAAAUAGUAACAAUAUUUUUAUUAAUUUGAAGUAUGGCAAGAUGGAUUAACAAAAGAUAAUGAUGCCUCUGCUGGACUCGAAUUGGUUAUUGGGUAAAUAGCGGUAUCUGUGCGUAAUUCAAUGUCAAAUAUACAACCGGAAAAUCCAGUAUGAAGGGGUAAAUCGUGAGGUAAAGAUUCAAAGUUUUUCGACUUAUGUCCACCUGAACAGAACAAUACACACACAAUCAUUUUUAUCAAUAAUAUUGUGUACAAAUUACUUUUUAAUAUAAAUUGUGAAAUUAUAAAGGACGAACCGAUAUAAAGUAUCGGUGAUACAUCAAGUCGUGUCAUGGUUCCAAUCACUCGUCCAGUUACAUUACCUAUACCAUCCACUGCAAGCCAUGCAUCUCGACCCUUUCUUCCAACUCUGAUUGUAUAUGCUACGUGAUGUUUACUCGUUGCCAUUGUUGUAGCACUCAAGGGAACAUUUGUGAAAAUUCUACGAACACCUAAAGAACGAAAUUAAACAGGACUAAAAAGUGUUUA
RNA transcript from Frieseomelitta varia, 1487 nucleotides. It is a transcript of the gene named ATP synthase mitochondrial F1 complex assembly factor 2, with no coding region annotated. The record is from RefSeq and is a predicted model, not a curated record. Lineage: Eukaryota; Metazoa; Arthropoda; Insecta; Hymenoptera; Apidae. The transcript has 7 exons.